This is a long non-coding RNA of Actinia tenebrosa (Australian red waratah sea anemone), 646 nucleotides long. RefSeq lists it as uncharacterized. Lineage: Eukaryota; Metazoa; Cnidaria; Anthozoa; Actiniaria; Actiniidae. The record is from RefSeq and is a predicted model, not a curated record.
UUAAAUCUCGUGCUAAAAUGUUUGCAUCGUUACGGAUUUUCUUCAACCGAUGAAAUGUGGUUUUGUUUCCUGUGUACCACCUGUCAGAAUAAUGUGAUCCUUGAUAAAUCGUGUGUCUUUUGUUACAUCAAGGGUGAUGUAGCGCCGGGGAUGCACUCGCUCCUCACCUCUUGGAUGUCGAGUUCGGUUUCUUGGUCUCGGCAUCACAUUUCGUAAUUCCAGAAGCACGUAACUAAGUGGUAGACUGUUCAUGAAAACUCAAGCCAUGUACACUGAAACAAUGACAAAAUAUAUGGAUGUUCACUUAGUCUUAUCAAAAUUGGAAUGAAAGUGAAACAGAAAAAAAAUGGCGAAUUGUUCACCGAUGUUAAAAUAGUUAAUACAACUGAUGACAAAUAGAAGAUGUACUUCCUUUAUGGAAGUUGAAAUGGAAUUAGAAAUGUUAAUGAAAUCUAAUUACGUAUUAUAAUACUUAGCAUCUACGUACUUCGCCUUAAAAUGUAGAAAAUGGUGCUUGAAACAGACACACGACAAAGUAAUAAAACCCACUCGACCAAUACCUGUGAAAUUAGUUAACAUUACUUUUUUAUGAUGUAUUGUGAGCAGAUUCCAUGGAGAAUUAAUACACUUAUAUUAGUGCACAGUU